AUGCAGCCAUGCCGCGUGUGUGAAGAAGGACCUUCGGGUUGUAAAGCACUUUCAGUAGGGAGGAAGGUAGUGUAGUUAACAACCUGCAUAUUUGACGUUACCUACACGAAGAAGCACCGGCUAACUCCGUGCCAGCAGCCGCGGUAAUACGGAGGGUGCGAGCGUUAAUCGGAAUUACUGGGCGUAAAGCGCAUGCAGGCGGCCUGUUAAGUCAGAUGUGAAAGCCCGGGGCUUAACCUCGGAAUUGCAUUUGAAACUGGCAGGCUAGAGUCUUGUAGAGGGGGGUAGGAAUUUCAGGUGUAGCGGUGAAAUGCGUAGAGAUCUGAAGGAAUACCAGUGGCGAAGGCGGCCCCCUGGACAAAGACUGACGCUCAGAUGCGAAAGCGUGGGGAGCAAACAGGAUUAGAUACCCCUGGUAG
This 419-nucleotide ribosomal RNA is filed under the name uncultured bacterium. RNAcentral describes it as "bacterial SSU rRNA". It matches the Rfam family "Bacterial small subunit ribosomal RNA", at positions 386 to 793 of the family's 1533-position model. The record is from RNAcentral.